GAGUUUGAUCCUGGCUCAGAACGAACGCUGGCGGCGUGCCUAACACAUGCAAGUCGAACGUGAUCCAGAGCUUGCUCUGGUGAAAGUGGCGCACGGGUGAGUAACGCGUGGAUAACCUACCCUGGUAUCCGGGAUAACAUUCCGAAAGGGGUGCUAAUACCGGAUAAGCCCACGGGCUCUUUGGAGCUUGCGGGAAAAGGUGGCCUCUAUUUAUAAGCUACUGUAUCAGGAUGGGUCCGCGUACCAUUAGCUAGUUGGCGGUGUAACGGACCACCAAGGCGACGAUGGUUAGCUGGUCUGAGAGGAUGAUCAGCCACACUGGAACUGAGACMCGGUCCAGACUCCUACGGGAGGCAGCAGUGGGGAAUUUUGCGCAAUGGGGGAAACCCUGASGCAGCAACGCCGCGUGAGUGAUGAAGGCCUUUGGGUCGUAAAGCUCUGUCAGAGGGGAAGAAAUGAUAUAGUGCUAAUACCACUUUAUCUUGACGGUACCCUCAAAGGAAGCACCGGCUAACUCCGUGCCAGCAGCCGCGGUAAUAC
Molecule: ribosomal RNA, 540 nt
Filed under: uncultured Geobacteraceae bacterium
Lineage: Bacteria; Pseudomonadati; Thermodesulfobacteriota; Desulfuromonadia; Geobacterales; Geobacteraceae
Description: bacterial SSU rRNA
Rfam family: Bacterial small subunit ribosomal RNA
Source: RNAcentral